RNAcentral lists this ribosomal RNA (484 nucleotides) under uncultured bacterium. RNAcentral's name for it is "partial 16S ribosomal RNA". It matches the Rfam family "Bacterial small subunit ribosomal RNA", at positions 30 to 507 of the family's 1533-position model. The record is from RNAcentral.
AUUGAACGCUGGCGGCAGGCCUAACACAUGCAAGUCGAGCGGAUGAAGGGGGCUUGCUCCUGGAUUCAGCGGCGGACGGGUGAGUAAUGCCUAGGAAUCUGCCUGGUAGUGGGGGAUAACGUCCGGAAACGGGCGCUAAUACCGCAUACGUCCUGAGGGAGAAAGUGGGGGAUCUUCGGACCUCACGCUAUCAGAUGAGCCUAGGUCGGAUUAGCUAGUUGGUGGGGUAAAGGCCUACCAAGGCGACGAUCCGUAACUGGUCUGAGAGGAUGAUCAGUCACACUGGAAGUGGGACGCGGUCCAGACUCCUACGGGAGGCAGCAGUGGGGAAUAUUGGACGAUGGGCGAAAGCCUGAUCCAGCCAUGCCGCGUGUGUGAAGAAGGUCUUCGGAUUGGAAAGCACUUUAAGGUGGGAGGAAGGGCAGUAAGUUAAUACCUUGCUGUUUUGACGUUACCAACAGAAGAAGCACCGGCUAACUUCGUG